AACCGUGUACGUACAAGCAGUGGGAGCACCCUUUGGGUGUGACUGCGUACCUUUUGUAUAAUGGGUCAGCGACUUAUAUUCUGUAGCAAGGUUAACCGAAUAGGGGAGCCGGAGGGAAACCGAGUCUUAACCGGGCGUUAAGUUGCAGGGUAUAGACCCGAAACCCGGUGAUCUAGCCAUGGGCAGGUUGAAGGUUGGGUAACACUAACUGGAGGACCGAACCGACUAAUGUUGAAAAAUUAGCGGAUGACCUGUGGCUGGGGGUGAAAGGCCAAUCAAACCGGGAGAUAGCUGGUUCUCCCCGAAAGCUAUUUAGGUAGCGCCUCGUGAAUUCAUCUCCGGGGGUAGAGCACUGUUUCGGCUAGGGGGCCAUCCCGGCUUACCAACCCGAUGCAAACUGCGAAUACCGGAGAAUGUUAUCACGGGAGACACACGGCGGGUGCUAACGUCCGUCGUGAAGAGGGAAACAACCCAGACCGCCAGCUAAGGUCCCAAAGUCAUGGUUAAGUGGGAAACGAUGUGGGAAGGCCCAGACAGCCAGGAUGUUGGCUUAGAAGCAGCCAUCAUUUAAAGAAAGCGUAAUAGCUCACUGGUCGAGUCGGCCUGCGCGGAAGAUGUAACGGGGCUAAACCAUG
RNAcentral lists this ribosomal RNA (635 nucleotides) under Salmonella enterica. RNAcentral's name for it is "partial 23S ribosomal RNA". It matches the Rfam family "Bacterial large subunit ribosomal RNA", at positions 554 to 1191 of the family's 2925-position model. Lineage: Bacteria; Pseudomonadati; Pseudomonadota; Gammaproteobacteria; Enterobacterales; Enterobacteriaceae. The record is from RNAcentral.